This is a non-coding RNA of Rattus norvegicus (Norway rat), 4835 nucleotides long. NCBI's taxonomy places the organism in Eukaryota, Metazoa, Chordata, Mammalia, Rodentia, Muridae. The record is from RefSeq and is a predicted model, not a curated record.
AGAUCCUACAAAAGGGGAAAUGUCGACAUUGAGGACAGCUUCAGGUUCUGUGGCCUCUGUGCCCCUGUGCCAGUGGCACGCCUGAGCCUUGCCAAGUCGUGCCACAGGUGCUCAACACAGGAUAACCUGCCUCUCGGCUACUCUUAGUGCUGCUCACCUGACUGCCGUCUGCCCACAUUAUUCAGCCUAAGGAAGUCAGUGACAUGAGCUCUCGACAGACAGACAGACAGACAGACAGACGGACAGCCAGCGUGACUCUAGCUUGGUGCCCACAUAUGUCAUCUGAAAAAAACAUGAUUCCUGCAUCCAGGGGUUUACAGCCUCAGGCAGGCAGACAGUUGUAGGAGCCACUGGCAGUUGGCAAUGUUUGUAUCUACACCCAUCCCUGUUGGUCACAUAGUGUUAACAGACUUCUGGUCUUUGCAUAGAAGACAAGUGUGCAACAAGGUCAGGUAGCCAGGCAGACCUGUGACCUCGCCUAUAUUUAGUCCCAGACAGCUAAGGAAUUGCCCUAUGCAUUGUGGAUCGCUCACAGAAUAAAUAUGAAGGCCUAAUGCUGGCUCACAAGACUUACACAGCCCCACCACUAACCUGUCCCACGCUCUCCUAAGUGUGGGACGGCAGUAACAGUACCUGACAUACCCUGAUACCCCAAACCCAGUGUUGCCUCUGGGGUGAAUGGAAUGCCGUGUGACACUCACAGGACCAAAGCCUUCCCUUUGUUAAGGCCUUUCCUCACUGGAGCUUCCCUGACUGAAAGCCUGUCCAGGACACUUCCUAGGCCUGGCCUGCUUCUUUCCCACAACUCCUGGUGUAUCUUGUGCACACUAAAGGCCAGGCCUUCCUUAUUCCUGACCAUGCUCUGGUCUUGCAUACAACCUGGCACAGACACAUCCCCAGGUGCUCACACUGUACCCAUGUGGUUCCCACUUGACAUGUAUGAGCUUCACAGACACUUCCCCACACCUCUGCCCCACAGCAGGUUUUUAUCGUUGAGAUGCUGACUCUGACCAUGUUUAAUACAGUGUCAGACUCUCAGUGCUCUCUCAUCUCCCCAUCCGCUGGGUCAACAGAGUGAGUUCUGGGACAGGCUUUGGGUAGGAGGAGGCUGAAGCGGAUUUGAGGGUUAAAUGGAGUCUGGCUGAAGACAGUGAUCACAAACACAGGCAAUCCCAUUUACCCCAGUCUGGAUGCUCUUGGAAAACACAGGCUCCUGGAGAAAGAGGAGCAAGCCCCAGGAAGGAGUAAAGGCCCUGGCAUAAACUCAGAAGAUGGGAGACUUGAGACUACAAAAGGACUGUUAGUCAGCUUGAAGAGGACCUGGGUUCCAUUCCCAGCCCCUUGUAGCGGCUUACAACCAUCCUCAACUCCAGGGCACUCACUAAGGAUACACUGUUGCCCAAGGCUGCUCUACACAAGUGCUGAGAGUCAUCCUACAUCCCCUCUGCUACAGCUUGGCUGCCUCCCUUCUGGGACCCAUGGGAAAGGCCUGCAGUGCAGCCACCUGAAGUAGAAUAAGGAAAAGGUCUCAGCUGGGCAGGGGUGCUGCACAUCGUUAAUCCCAGUGCUCGGGAGGGAGAGACAGGCAGACUUCUCUGAGUUCCAGGCCAGCUGGGUCUACAGAGUGAGUUCUGGGACAGCCAAGGACACAGAGAAACCCUGUCUUAAAAAACAAAAAAAACAAAAAAAACCACAAGUUUACAGCACUGGCUGUUCUUCCAGAGGUCCUGAGCUCAAUUCCCGGCACCCACAUGUUGCUUACAACCAUCUGUAACUAGUCCCAAGGAAUCCGAUGCUCUCUUCUGGUGUAAGCACACAUUAAUAAAUGUAAAAACUAAAUUGUUUUUAAAUGUAGGGCCUCAUUUAAGAGGUGGAACCUAGUAAGAGGAGGCUGAGCCAUCAGAGGUCUGCCCUUUAAGGGAAUAGGAGAAUCCCCGCCUCUUCCUGCUUCUUGACUUGCUGGACCCCAAGACUUCAGGAACCUCCUACGCCUUGCCCUGCCAACAAGAUGCACUGGGCAGUAUGGCCGGUGACCAGACUGAAACCCUCCAAUUCUGAGCCACAGAAACCUGUUCUCCUUAAGUUGAUUGUCUUGGGUAUUUGUCACAAUGAGAGGAAACCGACAAACACAAAUCCGACCCCAUGUAAGAGUGUGAAGGCCCUGCUCAACCCCAGCUUCUCUGUGGUAGUCACACCUGACUCCUUCCAGGCCCUUCCCACCUUAGGCUCCCACUCACUCUUUCUUUGGGGACGUUAUUCCUCCCACCCCAUCUGUUUGCCUCUCAGGCUUUACCGUAGGACGUUACCUCUCACACAUCCCUUCCUCCAUCCCUCUACAUUGAACAGGACUCCGGCUCUAAGUCUACAGAACCUAAGCCCCGACCCAGCGAUGUGUGUAGCAGUCAGGUGACAACCUCAGGGAAUGAAUCCUCUCUUUUACCUCGUGGGUCCCAAGGAUGAAACCCUUAUCGUCAGGCUUGGCAGGAAAUGCCUUAACCCACUUAAUCUUUGGCUUUCUUUUUCUGCCUAAGAAAUGGGCAGAUGGCCAGACAUGAUGACACCGCACCUCUAGUGCCACGGCGAUCGGAAGCUUAAGGUCACUCUCCAAUACACAGCAAGUUCAAGGUCUGACUGCGUCAGUGAUACCCUAUUUCUGCCCCCACCACCAAAGAGGAGGAAUGAUAACACUGGCUCCUCCCAGAACGUCUCAAGGGUUAAAAGCAUUAACACUGCUAGGUCAGUGGUGGGUAAUGCUAUAUAAAGAUGUUUGUAGAGGUAGGUUAACUACUCACUAAACUAGUUAAAUUCACCUUGGCACAUCGUCACGUUUUAACCUACAAAGGACCACAGGCACAAAGGUAUAUGAUGCGUAAUAUCGCAAUAGAGCAGACAUCCUCCCCUCCCCUAAAGAUGCAGUAGCUAUGGCAACAUUGCCACAAUGCAGGGUAUUAGUCCUGGGUUUGAGGAGAUGCUGAAAAAAUAACUCUGUUUGGCCAGUAGCAUAGCACAGCACUUACAGUUACGCACCAUGUACUAAGGCAAUGGUAAAAUGAGAUUUGCUGGCUUGUCUUCACUGUGGUGUAACCGCUAUGGUUCUCUUACAGCAUAUUGCCUCUGCUUACAGACGUCAGCUGCUACCUCGUCGUGCAGCAGCGGUUCCACGCCUUGAGAACGUCGGGAGACACUGCCGUGGAGGACUAGAGCAUCUGCAUCUGUGGAGCACACUGUCUCGGCCCACAGGGACAAAGCCAUCUAGUGAUCCACUCCUCAGCACACAGAAGGCACAGCGGCUCUUAGGCCUGUCCACCCAGCCAGCGAUAUGCUCUAGCUGAACAGCGACACUCUCGGAUCUACAGCUAGACCUGAGCACCGGGCCUGUGCCCCCGGCCCUGAGUCAGUGAAGGACGAGAUCUGGUGGUGGAUCUUCCAUCACAGGCCCACGGGAAUCCUAAAGGGCUACACUACAGUGAGGAGGUGGUGAGCUCUCAGGCACUUAUAGCCCUGAGAACUGGUUGGGUCACUAAAGAGCUUGUUUGCAGAAGGUACACAGGGCUGCGGAGAAUGGCCCUCAGAAAAGGGGUGCUCCUGCACCGGGUCCCACCUGCUGAAGAUGUCUCCGGAGAUGUUCUGUAAGUACUGCAGGGCAUCUGCCACUUGCUGGAUUGCCUCCUCUCGACGCAGGUCUGGCUGGAUGAGGGGCACCGCAUAAACCUGGCCUGCCAAGGAGUGCUGGGUCUUCAUCGCCGUCAUGGUGCCUGUGGGAAGGAACCAAGACAUCAAGAACACAGCCCCACAUCCAACCCCUCCAUCUACCAGCCACACACAAGGUGGCCGUGUCAACGCCUGGGAUCCCGGGAGACAGAAGCAAGGACUGUCCGUUGUUUAAGGCCAUCUUCUGAUACAGACAGCUCAAGACCAGCCCGGGCUACGUGAGACACUGCCUACGUGACAUCCUAUCUUGCUUGAUACCCUGCCCUAUGCUGACUCAGCGGGUCCUGAUGGGAAGAGCCCCAGCUUCACUCAGCAUUUUUGUGAUUGCUCAUGUUCACAUUAAACUCUGGAACUAGGCAUCGCUAUUGCAAAGAGGUUGAUGGCUCUCUUGAAGAACACUUCAAGCAUUAACCAUCUCCACUGGGACAACCGUCACUUCUUCCAAAGUGAAGUUCAAGAUAGGUCUGUUGACUACUGACAUUCUUUCAUGGGCUGGGGGUUUUCUGCCACUUCCUCUGCACUGUCAGCUUGCUAUAUACGAUAAUUCUGCCCUAAUUGCACAUUACCUUGUAGUCUCAGUGUCCACACUGGAAAAUCAAGUGAAUUUCUGGUGAUUCUGCUGCUCUGGGACACCCACGUUCUGCAAGUAAAUCCAGUAAACUCAGGGGUUGCCCAAGGUGGGCUUCGAUGGAAUUAUACUUUGGGUUGUCAUCGGGGCUCUGUAAGGAGGGGUGGAUGCCUGUUUGCAGUCCUGCCCACAAGGGGAGGUUUCCAAACCAUCUAAAAUGGAUUGAAGGCCACCCACCCUACUUGUGAGGGAAAACAAUAAAUAGUUGAAAACGCAAUUUACUAUAAGUCGUCUUUCUGUGACUUUUGUUCUGAGACAAAGUAAUUCCUCCCUCCAGCAAGUGACUACAUUUCUAUCUUGGCCUUCAAUCGUUCCUGCUCGCUUAUUUUUCACUUGUCAUGCAUGCCAUGAAUACAUAAACAUUCCCAUUCCCACAUCACGGUGUCUCUUACAUACACACACACACAACCUCUGUCAAGUAUAUAUAUACAGAGACAGUGCUUGUUUUAGCAUAAGUGACACGUUUCUAGUGAUCGGCACUUAACCCAGAUCACCA